AACCUCCGCAAUGUGAGAAAUCGCGACGGGGGGAUCCCAAGUGCCAUUCUUAACGGGAUGGCUUUUCAUUAGUGUAAAGAGCUUUUGGAAUAAGGGCUGGGCAAGCCGGUGCCAGCCGCCGCGGUAACACCGGCAGCUCUAGUGGUAGCAGUUUUUAUUGGGCCUAAAGCGUCCGUAGCCGGUUUAAUAAGUCUCUGGUGAAAUCCUGUAGCUUAACUGUGGGAAUUGCUGGAGAUACUAUUAGACUUGAGACCGGGAGAGGUUAGAGGUACUCCCAGGGUAGAGGUGAAAUUCUGUAAUCCUGGGAGGACCGCCUGUUGCGAAGGCGUCUAACUGGAACGGUUCUGACGGUGAGGGACGAAAGUUAGGGGCGCGAACCGGAUUAGAUACCCGGGUAGUCCUAACUGUAACGAUGCGGACUUGGUGUUGGGGUGGCUUUGAGCUGCUCCAGUGCCGAAGGGAAGCUGUUAAGUCCGCCGCCUGGGAAGUACGGUCGCAAGACUGAAACUUAAAGGAAGU
Molecule: ribosomal RNA, 519 nt
Filed under: uncultured bacterium
Lineage: Bacteria
Description: bacterial SSU rRNA
Rfam family: Archaeal small subunit ribosomal RNA
Source: RNAcentral